RNAcentral lists this ribosomal RNA (253 nucleotides) under uncultured bacterium. Its description in RNAcentral is "partial 16S ribosomal RNA". It matches the Rfam family "Bacterial small subunit ribosomal RNA", at positions 524 to 776 of the family's 1533-position model. The record is from RNAcentral.
CACGUAGGAGGCGAGCGUUGUCCGGAAUCAUUGGGCGUAAAGAGCGCGCAGGCGGCUUGGCAAGUCGGGUGUGAAAUCCCGGGGCUCAACCCCGGGACUGCAUUCGAUACUGUCAGGCUAGAGGUAGGUAGGGGAGAUCGGAAUUCCUGGUGUAGCGGUGAAAUGCGCAGAUAUCAGGAGGAACACCGGUGGCGAAGGCGGAUCUCUGGGCUUUACCUGACGCUCAGGCGCGAAAGCUAGGGGAGCGAACAGG